AAACUGGAAACUACGACAAAGCUAUAGAGUUUUACGAAAAAGCUCUGGAAAUUCAAAAACAAUCGUUAGUUCCAAAUCAUGUUGAUGUUGCUAUGUCUUUGAACAAUCUUGGCACGAUGUAUGAAGAAACUGGAAACUACGACAAAGCUAUAGAGUUUUACGAAAAAGCUCU
Molecule: long non-coding RNA, 172 nt
Organism: Xenia sp. Carnegie-2017
Lineage: Eukaryota; Metazoa; Cnidaria; Anthozoa; Malacalcyonacea; Xeniidae
Exons: 2
Source: RefSeq, a predicted model, not a curated record